Non-coding RNA from Carassius gibelio (silver crucian carp), 945 nucleotides. Lineage: Eukaryota; Metazoa; Chordata; Actinopteri; Cypriniformes; Cyprinidae. The record is from the annotation of a RefSeq genome assembly.
ACUUCUUUGCAUCAUCAGCACAUGCUUCAGUGCUCUGAGAGAGUUUAUAGUGCUGUGAGUUUAACACUUCAUGACUGAGAGCAGAACAGAACACAAUCUUCAUCAUCACACAAGACACAACAACAACAAUGAACAACAUCAUCAUCCUCAUCUGGACUCUCACACUGCUUGCUCAAGAGAGUAGAGGACAGUACACUGUAACUCAGAGUCCAUCAAUAACAGCAGCUCAACCAGGACAAGAAGUCAGAAUAAACUGUAAAACCAGCAGUUCAGUGUAUGCUAAUAAUCGUUUAGCCUGGUAUUUACAGAAACCUGGAGAAGCUCCUAAACUCCUCAUAUAUUUUGCAACAAGCCGUUUCACUGGAACUCCAUCUAGAUUCAGUGGCAGUGGAUCUAACAGUGAUUUCACUCUGACCAUCAGUGGAGUCCAGACUGAAGAUACAGGACAUUAUUACUGUCAGAGUGCUCACUGUCCUAGUAGUUGUGUGUUCACACAGUGAUAAAGAGUCGUACAAAAACCUCCGUCAGUCAGAGUCACAGUGACUGCACUGAUACAGCUGAGAGAUACUGCAGCUGCUGAUGGAUGACAACACAAAUAUUAUAGCAAAAAUUUGAGAGAUUUAAUACAAUAUUUAUUCAUUUAUUAACUUACUACAUUUAUUUAAUAGGUGUAUACAUUACAUUAUAUCAUCAAUCAUUAAUUGUGUGAUCAUUGUAAAGUGUAGCCAGUAUUUAUUUGUCUUAUUCAUCUAAAUCAACGAAUAGAAGAACUAUCAAACAGAUCACACACCGAGGCCUGAUGUGACUCACAUGACAGUAUGAACUUCAAAAACAAUGAAUAAAAUGGAAAUUUUCCCCAGGUCACCACAUGUUCAUAAUAUGACUAGUGUUCUGUUUCUGCAGGUAUUGACAUUGUUAAUGUUUAUCUGUAAAAUAUAAGCUAAA